RNAcentral lists this ribosomal RNA (729 nucleotides) under uncultured bacterium. RNAcentral describes it as "bacterial SSU rRNA". It matches the Rfam family "Bacterial small subunit ribosomal RNA", at positions 70 to 796 of the family's 1533-position model. The record is from RNAcentral.
CACAGAGUAGCAAUACUUGGGUGGCGACCGGCAAACGGGUGCGGAACACGUACGCAACCUUCCUUCAGGCGGGGAAUAGCCCAGAGAAAUUUGGAUUAAUACCCCAUAAAAUUUGAGAUGGCAUCAUCUUAUUAUUAAAGCUUCGGCACCUGAUGAUGGGCGUGCGGCUGAUUAGGUAGUUGGCGGGGUAACGGCCCACCAAGCCUACGAUCAGUAGCUGAUGUGAGAGCAUGAUCAGCCACACGGGCACUGAGACACGGGCCCGACUCCUACGGGAGGCAGCAGUAAGGAAUAUUGGUCAAUGGACGAAAGUCUGAACCAGCCAUGCCGCGUGGAGGAUGAAGGUCCUCUGGAUUGUAAACUUCUUUUAUCUGGGACGAAAAAAGGGUUUUCUAACUCGUCUGACGGUACCAGAUGAAUAAGCACCGGCUAACUCCGUGCCAGCAGCCGCGGUAAUACGGAGGGUGCAAGCGUUAUCCGGAUUCACUGGGUUUAAAGGGUGCGUAGGCGGGCAUUUAAGUCAGUGGUGAAAUACCUGAGCUUAACUUGGGAACUGCCAUUGAUACUAUUUGUCUCGAAUGUCGUGGAGGUUAGCGGAAUAUGUCAUGUAGCGGUGAAAUGCUUAGAUAUGACAUAGAACACCUAUUGCGAAGGCAGCUAACUACGCGAAUAUUGACGCUGAGGCACGAAAGCGUGGGGAUCAAACAGGAUUAGAUACCCUGGUAGUCC